GGAGGAGAGGGGGGGAGAGUUUGUCAACAUCCCAAAUUUGAUACCCCCACCCCAGCUCAUAAGCAUUGAGAUCUGUGUAAACCCAAUUGCUACAUUUUCAAAAGGAUAUGUGCUCAGUAGUAGGGAGGAUGGAUGAAUAAAUAUGGUCCUCAGGAAGAUAGAUAACUCCUCAAAUGUGAAGUUUUCCGCUGGCUCUGGGCACUGCUCUCUGUCGGAUGCAUUGCAUCCAUUUGCACACAGAGCUGGGGUCUGCCUGGUCUGCAUGAAGUUCUGAGCAUUACCAUUUGUUGUCUUAAUUGCAUGAAUUGGGUGUAAGAAAAGAUAUCAAAGUAUACAAAAUACUAAUGAUGGACUAUUUUGAAAGGAGGGUCAAACUGCUAAAGGAGAAUAUAUAUGUAUAUAUUUGGAGUUAGCCCUGAAUGCAUGCCGGUACAUUAAAUAACAAGAGGCCUGCACUGACCGACUAUUUGGUGGAAUGACAGUUCCCAUAUCCGGCUUUAAACUGGGCAAGAAAUAAAUGAACGCAAAUCAGGGCUAAUUAAGUUCGGGACAUUUAAUAUAGAGGAACAGAAGCAGACAAGGAAUGAGUUCCAAGAAGCUUAUUAGUUGGUUAAUCUGCUUAAUGCCUGUGGUUUUUGGAUGUGUGUAUCAUCUUGACUAGCGCGUUAUAAAAGCACUUCUUGUACAGGAAAGGAAUUGAUGUUGGUACCACUAAUUAAGAUUUCAGAUGUUUCAUUUUUAGAUUCCAUUGUGUGCGGUUGCGUUUCGCAUUAAUUCCUUGCAUCAUUCCAUUGUCAAUUCUCACAAAACAAAACUUUGGGUUUCAAUUCCAGGUUGAUCCAUUCAAAUUAAGCAUCCUGCCAUAAAACUGUGAAGGAUUGACUGAAACUCUGAAAGGUCAACACCGAGGUUGUGAUUAUCCUAACCAGAUUCCCCGCACAUAGUACAUUACUUUUAUAUCUAAUUGUCACUUUUUGCUAUGAGUAAAUAAAUGAAUUUUUAUCCAUGUUCUGUAAAGAACGUGACAUUAUAUUACUUGGAGACAAAAAUUAAAACUAAAAGUAGGGUAAUUAAAAGAUCAAUUGUGAUCUAAAUUAAGAAUAUCCAUCAAACUUGUCUGGUCCAGUGAGCACUACAUGUUGUGCUCUAAUACAUUUCUCUGGGAGAAGUUUUAGGUUUUUAUGCAUCAAUGGGCAUUUUUAUCUACUCAUUUUGCAGAGUGAACUGCUUCAAAUUCAGAUUCAUAUUGAAUUUAUAAUCGUAUUUUAUACACAACUUAUGACACAAUUCCACAUUUUUAUAUUCCAUUCUUGUGCACAAUCUUGUAGCGGCAUCCUUUGUGAGCCCUCAUUCACAUGAUCAUAAUCUGUUCAAAUUUUGCAAGGACCUGUGCAGCCUUUUUCUAACAGUUGUAUAAAUUGGGGAGACAAAAAAAAAAAAAAAAAAAAAAAAAAAUCCCUCAUCAAAAUUGACCCUUUUUUCAUCUGCUUUAAUUAUGACCUUAAAAUUUUUGAUGUCAACUUGUUGAUACACCUUUCAUGUGAGAUCAAAGUAUAGCUUCUAUUAUGAAAUUUCAAAUGGGGGAAGUGAAAGUCUUCUUGUAGUUUAGAUUUGUGUCUUUUCAUGUAAGAACAUUGCCAGAUUAUUUCACUAUAACUUUCAUUCAAUUUGAUUAUGAAGUGUGCUGUGCAUGAACCAGAGCUCACUUUCAGACCAUUCUUAUCAUAUUAAAUUCAAAGCUUAACUGAGCAAUUAUACCAAAACAUGUCACUACUAUUUCAUAAUGUAAAACAGAACCAGGGUUAAAAACUUGUUGCUAGGUCCUUGCAUCUAUGUUCUAAAACUUUUAUUUGUCAUGUCUUUCAUCACUUUACAUAAAUUAUCUUAAGGUACCCUAAGUUCUAACUUUACCACCUCUUCAUUCAAUUGUUAUCUUUUUUGUCUAUUUUUUAAUUUAUAUAUAGACAUACUCUUAUCUUCAGUGGCAAUGGGGGUCUGUUUUGGAGCCGUGUGUGGUGCCUUAUGUGUACCUUCAAGAGUUUUUUUUUUUGGUAGAUUCAGGGGUUGUUAAUUUUUCCCACCUGCAGUUGUUAAAAAUCCUUCCCACUGAGGCAUUUUAGAAAGAGGACAUUGGUAUUAGGCUUUGUGGGCAUGGUUCCCUUGUUUGAAUGGUUCUGAGGCUGUGAGACUGGGUCUUAACCACUUCCACAAACCAGGUUUUAGGGUUUCUUCUUUUAAAAAACCCAAAUGAAGGGGUGGACAUUAGCCAUGUGUAAAAUUUGGGAACUCACAGAUUUGGCACUCAUUUAUUGUUCCAUUUUGUUCCCCUGUGGAUUUUCAGGACCCAUGCAGUUGCAGCUUUGGACCCCUCUCAGUGCUGUAAGUUGUGAGAAGGUCUUUGGGAAUUUGUUCUGAUUACAUGAUAAUAUUUUCAGUCAAAAUAAUUAAAAGAAAAUUCUUCUACAUAUUAUUAAUUAAGAGGAUGCAGAUCAAAUCAUUCCAACUGUAGAAAUUCUGAUUAUUGUAAUUUUCCCCUCAUAUUACAAAAUUGGUUCUCAAUUUGCCAGGAAUUGAAGGGAUGCUGUGGGGAGUCUGAAUGUUUGCAGUGCUCUUUUUAAUUAAAACACUCUGUGAGGUGUAGUAACUAAUAGAAUGUUUCCAAGGUAGACAAUUUACUUUUAUUACUCUAAAUAAUAUAUUUGUUGUGAAACAGUAUGCUGAAGAUAAACAAACAAACAAACAAACAAACAAAUAAAUAAAUAACAGUUUGUGUCAGUUAAGAUGUUGAUAGAGUUAAAAUUAACUUCACAAGAAACAAAUUCGUGCAAAGAAUGUAGACCUGUAAACCAUCCAUAGAUCCCAGAGUCCCCAGUUCAAAUGGGAAUUGAUCCUACUCCAACAACAGAAUUCAAGGGGAGCCAUUAUGAGCCUCGGUUUAGGUGCCAUAACAAAUAGAUCAGAGAAAGAUGUGCUAAUGGUGGCAAGGCACUACUUUCAAUGCUAAACACAUAUAUUUUGAUGUGUGUCUAGGCUUGAAAUCCAAAAAAGAUGAAGAUGAAGGUUUGAGUUGUAUCACCAUUGACAAUCCCAAUGCAAUCCACUCCUUAAAAUGGAUCAUGAUUAAGGGUUUUCUCUAUUGGAGUAUUAAGUCUCCUUUAAACAAAUCAUUUGAAUAGGAGCCAUUGGCUCAUGAUCAAUGGCAGGAGUCCAUAUGGAUGCAUUUUUACCCUUAAUUGUGUGUGUGUGUAUGUAUGUAUAUAUAU
Molecule: long non-coding RNA, 3263 nt
Filed under: Physcomitrium patens
Lineage: Eukaryota; Viridiplantae; Streptophyta; Bryopsida; Funariales; Funariaceae
Description: long non-coding RNA (PPAT_LNC011763)
Source: RNAcentral